Molecule: ribosomal RNA, 576 nt
Filed under: uncultured eukaryote
Lineage: Eukaryota
Description: bacterial SSU rRNA
Rfam family: Eukaryotic small subunit ribosomal RNA
Source: RNAcentral
UAAAAACCCCGACUUCGGAAGGGGUGUAUUUAUUAGAUACAAAACCAAUGCCCUUCGGGGCUCUUUGGUGAUUCAUGAUAACUAUACGAAUCGCACGGCCUUGCGCCGGCGAUGGUUCAUUCAAAUUUCUUCCCUAUCAACUUUCGAUGUUUGGGUAUUGGCCAAACAUGGUUGCAACGGGUAACGGAGGGUUAGGGCUCGACCCCGGAGAAGGAGCCUGAGAAACGGCUACUACAUCCAAGGAAGGCAGCAGGCGCGCAAAUUACCCAAUCCCGACUCGGGGAGGUAGUGACAAUAAAUACUGAUACAGGGCCCUUUCGGGCCUUGUAAUUGGAAUGAGUACAAUUUAAAUCCCUUAACGAGGAACAAUUGGAGGGCAAGUCUGGUGCCAGCAGCCGCGGUAAUUCCAGCUCCAAUAGCGUAUAUUAAAAGUUGUUGUGGUUAAAAAGCUCGUAAUUGAACCUUGGGCCUGGCUGGCCGGUCCGCAAAUAAAAGUGCGCAGAUCCAGCCGGGCCUUUCAACUUAAAAACCAAGAACCAAGAAAGAAGAAUGGAAGGGAAAUAAAACAAAAACAUA